This 407-nucleotide ribosomal RNA is filed under the name uncultured Actinomycetales bacterium. Its description in RNAcentral is "bacterial SSU rRNA". It matches the Rfam family "Bacterial small subunit ribosomal RNA", at positions 355 to 774 of the family's 1533-position model. The record is from RNAcentral. Lineage: Bacteria; Bacillati; Actinomycetota; Actinomycetes; Actinomycetales.
UGGGGAAUAUUGCACAAUGGGCGAAAGCCUGAUGCAGCAACGCCGCGUGCGGGAUGACGGCCUUCGGGUUGUAAACCGCUUUCAGUAGGGACGAAGCGCAAGUGACGGUACCUACAGAAGAAGCACCGGCCAACUACGUGCCAGCAGCCGCGGUGAUACGUAGGGUGCGAGCGUUGUCCGGAAUUAUUGGGCGUAAAGAGCUUGUAGGCGGUCUGUCACGUCGUCAGUGAAAACUCAGGGCUCAACCCUGAGCCUGCUGGCGAUACGGGCAGACUAGAGGAAGGUAGGGGAGAACGGAAUUCCUGGUGGAGCGGUGGAAUGCGCAGAUAUCAGGAGGAACACCGGUGGCGAAGGCGGUUCUCUGGACCUUUCCUGACGCUGAGAAGCGAAAGCGUGGGGAGCAAACA